GAUGAUCGUUCCUCUCUUCCUUUGGGAGAGUAAGAGGGAGAGGACACCAUCUGAGUGGU
Molecule: small nuclear RNA, 59 nt
Filed under: Cervus elaphus hippelaphus
Lineage: Eukaryota; Metazoa; Chordata; Mammalia; Artiodactyla; Cervidae
Rfam family: Small nucleolar RNA U3
About the family: Small nucleolar RNAs (snoRNAs) are involved in the processing and modification of rRNA in the nucleolus. There are two main classes of snoRNAs: the box C/D class, and the box H/ACA class. U3 snoRNA is a member of the box C/D class.
Source: RNAcentral